AGCUCAGUUGAUAGAGCAUUAGCCUUCCAAGCUNUCUCGGGGUCGUUGGUUCGAAUCCGACAAGAG
This 66-nucleotide transfer RNA is filed under the name Phocaeicola vulgatus. Its description in RNAcentral is "Bacteroides vulgatus tRNA-Gly". It matches the Rfam family "tRNA", at positions 9 to 63 of the family's 71-position model. Rfam says of the family: Transfer RNA (tRNA) molecules are approximately 80 nucleotides in length. Their secondary structure includes four short double-helical elements and three loops (D, anti-codon, and T loops). Further hydrogen bonds mediate the characteristic L-shaped molecular structure. tRNAs have two regions of fundamental functional importance: the anti-codon, which is responsible for specific mRNA codon recognition, and the 3' end, to which the tRNAs corresponding amino acid is attached (by aminoacyl-tRNA synthetases). tRNAs cope with the degeneracy of the genetic code in two manners: having more than one tRNA (with a specific anti-codon) for a particular amino acid; and 'wobble' base-pairing, i.e. permitting non-standard base-pairing at the 3rd anti-codon position. Lineage: Bacteria; Pseudomonadati; Bacteroidota; Bacteroidia; Bacteroidales; Bacteroidaceae. The record is from RNAcentral.